GACGAACGCUGGCGGCGUGCUUAACACAUGCAAGUCGAACGGAAAGGCCCUGCUUUUGUGGGGUGCUCGAGUGGCGAACGGGUGAGUAACACGUGAGUAACCUGCCCUUGACUUUGGGAUAACUUCAGGAAACUGGGGCUAAUACCGGAUAGGAGCUCCUGCUGCAUGGUGGGGGUUGGAAAGUUUCGGCGGUUGGGGAUGGACUCGCGGCUUAUCAGCUUGUUGGUGGGGUAGUGGCUUACCAAGGCUUUGACGGGUAGCCGGCCUGAGAGGGUGACCGGCCACAUUGGGACUGAGAUACGGCCCAGACUCCUACGGGAGGCAGCAGUGGGGAAUAUUGCACAAUGGGCGGAAGCCUGAUGCAGCAACGCCGCGUGCGGGAUGACGGCCUUCGGGUUGUAAACCGCUUUCGCCUGUGACGAAGCGUGAGUGACGGUAAUGGGUAAAGAAGCACCGGCUAACUACGUGCCAGCAGCCGCGGUGAUACGUAGGGUGCGAGCGUUGUCCGGAUUUAUUGGGCGUAAAGGGCUCGUAGGUGGUUGAUCGCGUCGGAAGUGUAAUCUUGGGGCUUAACCCUGAGCGUGCUUUCGAUACGGGUUGACUUGAGGAAGGUAGGGGAGAAUGGAAUUCCUGGUGGAGCGGUGGAAUGCGCAGAUACCAGGAGGAACACCAGUGGCGAAGGCGGUUCUCUGGGCCUUUCCUGACGCUGAGGAGCGAAAGCGUGGGGAGCGAACAGGCUUAGAUACCCUGGUAGUCCACGCUGUAAACGGUGGGUACUAGGUGUGGGGUCCAUUCCACGGGUUCCGUGCCGUAGCUAACGCUUUAAGUACCCCGCCUGGGGAGUACGGCCGCAAGGCUAAAACUCAAAGGAAUUGACGGGGCCCCGCACAAGCGGCGGAGCAUGCGGAUUAAUUCGAUGCAACGCGUAGAACCUUACCUGGGUUUGACAUGGAUCGGGAGUGCUCAGAGAUGGGUGUGCCUCUUUUGGGGUCGGUUCACAGGUGGUGCAUGGCUGUCGUCAGCUCGUGUCGUGAGAUGUUGGGUUAAGUCCCGCAACGAGCGCAACCCUUGUUCACUGUUGCCAGCACGUUAUGGUGGGGACUCAGUGGAGACCGCCGGGGUCAACUCGGAGGAAGGUGGGGAUGACGUCAAGUCAUCAUGCCCCUUAUGUCCAGGGCUUCACGCAUGCUACAAUGGCUGGUACAGAGAGUGGCGAGCCUGUGAGGGUGAGCGAAUCUCGGAAAGCCGGUCUCAGUUCGGAUUGGGGUCUGCAACUCGACCUCAUGAAGUCGGAGUCGCUAGUAAUCGCAGAUCAGCAACGCUGCGGUGAAUACGUUCCCGGG
Molecule: ribosomal RNA, 1343 nt
Filed under: uncultured bacterium
Lineage: Bacteria
Description: 16S ribosomal RNA
Rfam family: Bacterial small subunit ribosomal RNA
Source: RNAcentral